CCUACGGGCGGCAGCAGUGGGGAAUAUUGGACAAUGGGGGCAACCCUGAUCCAGCCAUGCCGCGUGUGUGAAGAAGGCCCUCGGGUUGUAAAGCACUUUCAGUGAGGAAGAACGCCUGGUGGUUAAUACCCAUCAGGAAAGACAUCACUCACAGAAGAAGCACCGGCUAACUCCGUGCCAGCAGCCGCGGUAAUACGGAGGGUGCGAGCGUUAAUCGGAAUUACUGGGCGUAAAGCGCGCGUAGGUGGCUUGAUAAGCCGGUUGUGAAAGCCCCGGGCUCAACCUGGGAACGGCAUCCGGAACUGUCAAGCUAGAGUGAAGGAGGGAAGGUAGAAUUCCCGGUGUAGCGGUGAAAUGCGUAGAGAUCGGGAGGAAUACCAGUGGCGAAGGCGGCCUUCUGGACUGACACUGACACUGAGGUGCGAAAGCGUGGGUAGCAAACAGGAUUAGAUACCCCUGUAGUC
Molecule: ribosomal RNA, 464 nt
Filed under: Vreelandella stevensii
Lineage: Bacteria; Pseudomonadati; Pseudomonadota; Gammaproteobacteria; Oceanospirillales; Halomonadaceae
Description: partial 16S ribosomal RNA
Rfam family: Bacterial small subunit ribosomal RNA
Source: RNAcentral